This 254-nucleotide ribosomal RNA is filed under the name uncultured bacterium. RNAcentral describes it as "partial 16S ribosomal RNA". It matches the Rfam family "Bacterial small subunit ribosomal RNA", at positions 524 to 776 of the family's 1533-position model. The record is from RNAcentral.
UACGGGGGGGGCAAGCGUUGUUCGGAAUUACUGGGCGUAAAGGGCGCGUAGGCGGUUGGAUAAGUCAGCUGUGAAAACCACGGGCUUAACUCGUGGCCUGCAGUUGAGACUGUCUGGCUUGAGUGUGGGAGAGGAGAGUGGAAUUCCUGGUGUAGCGGUGAAAUGCGUAGAUAUCUGGAGGAACACCGGUGGCGAAGGCGGCAUCCUGGACCAACACUGACGCUGAGUGAGCGAAAGCCAGGGGAGCAAACGGG